CAGGGAAGUCCAGGAUGCUUGUGAAUAGCUAGUGUGGAGUGGAGAUAAAGGUCAAAUGGAAUUGAGGAGAGUAAAGGAUUCUGAGCAUGUAAUAGUAAGUAUUCUUGUCUGUAACAAUGGGCAUUGAACUAAGGAGAUAUGUGCUGUGCAGUGAGGAGAUGACACAUUAUAUUAAAAACCAAUAAACAUGUAGCAGUUAAAAGUUCACUUAUGUUCUUACUGUUUAAGAUCCUGAUGAACUAGGGCAUCUCUUUAAGUAGAGAAAUUCUGAUUCUGAAACCCUAACUCAAUUUAUCUUUGUUUAUCUUCGGUUUCUUCAGCCUGAUCUACUGUGGCCAUGAAGAUCAAUUUCCUUCUUUUAGCUCUUUUUUUCUUUGUCUUAAUACUUUUCUCAGCCUCUCUAAAACUCACUUCCUACGUGGUUUGCAAACCUUUUACUAAAAACUGCACUGCUGUUAAUGGAACAAGCUGUAUCAGUGGUGAAAAGACCUGCAUCUUACAUCUUAGAAGAUGCUGUAAGGCUAAGAAAUAAAAGGCCAGCUCUUGGGAAAUGAAGAAAUUCAGAAGUGAUGGAGACGAAGUCAUCAACUGUUUUGUCUUAUUCCGAGCUAUUGAGCACUACACUGAACUGUUGAACAUCAUGAACAAAGUUAAAGCUCUCAAAAUAUUUGAAAAUGAACACCCUUUUCAUCAGCUGCUGUUUGAAACUUAUUAUCACUUAGCAGUAGCUUAUCAAAGCUUGAAUCUCCACAAGAAAACAAUAGAACAAUUAACACUUGCAGCAGAGAUUGCAGCUGUACCUAAGGUAAAACUGAUGUCAUUUAUAGCAUGUUUAUAUUUUCCAUAAAAAUAAAAGU
This 857-nucleotide long non-coding RNA is filed under the name Phascolarctos cinereus (koala). Its description in RNAcentral is "lncRNA (ENSPCIG00000012495.2)". Lineage: Eukaryota; Metazoa; Chordata; Mammalia; Diprotodontia; Phascolarctidae. The record is from RNAcentral.